UGACCUCGGAUCAGGCAGGGAUACCCGCUGAACUUAAGCAUAUCAAUAAGCGGAGGAAAAGAAACCAACAGGGAUUGCCUCAGUAACGGCGAGUGAAGCGGCAACAGCUCAAAUUUGAAAUCUGGCUCUUUUAGGGUCCGAGUUGUAAUUUGUAGAGGAUGCUUCGGCGUCNGCUCCGGUCUAAGUUUCCUUGGAACAGGACGUCAUANAAGGGUGAGAAUCC
RNAcentral lists this ribosomal RNA (223 nucleotides) under uncultured fungus. RNAcentral describes it as "partial 28S ribosomal RNA". It matches the Rfam family "Eukaryotic large subunit ribosomal RNA", at positions 1 to 221 of the family's 3401-position model. Lineage: Eukaryota; Fungi. The record is from RNAcentral.